ACUUAGAUAGUUUAAAAAAUGCUAAUCUGUGACAUUAGAGAUGGUAAUUAAAAUUUACCUCUAAGUC
This 67-nucleotide transfer RNA is filed under the name Cercodemas anceps. RNAcentral's name for it is "tRNA-His". It matches the Rfam family "tRNA". From Rfam's summary of the family: Transfer RNA (tRNA) molecules are approximately 80 nucleotides in length. Their secondary structure includes four short double-helical elements and three loops (D, anti-codon, and T loops). The record is from RNAcentral. Lineage: Eukaryota; Metazoa; Echinodermata; Holothuroidea; Dendrochirotida; Cucumariidae.